RNAcentral lists this unclassified non-coding RNA (330 nucleotides) under soil metagenome. Its description in RNAcentral is "partial contains 5.8S ribosomal RNA, internal transcribed spacer 2, and large subunit ribosomal RNA". The stretch from base 1 to 120 matches the Rfam family "5.8S ribosomal RNA", at positions 35 to 154 of the family's 154-position model. The record is from RNAcentral.
GAUGAAGAACGUAGCGAAAUGCGAUAAGUAAUGUGAAUUGCAGAAUUCAGUGAAUCAUCGAAUCUUUGAACGCACAUUGCGCCCUCUGGUAUUCCGGGGGGCAUGCCUGUUCGAGCGUCAUUAUAACCACUCAAGCUCUCGCUUGGUAUUGGGGUUCGCGGUUUCGCGGCCCCUAAAAUCAGUGGCGGUGCCUGUCGGCUCUACGCGUAGUAAUACUCCUCGCGAUUGAGUCCGGUAGGUCUACUUGCCAGCAACCCCUAAUUUUUUUAAGGUUGACCUCGGAUCAGGUAGGGAUACCCGCUGAACUCAAGCAUAUCAAUAAGCGGAGGA